AACCUGGUUGAUCCUGCCAGUAGUCAUAUGCUUGUCUCAAAGAUUAAGCCAUGCAUGUCUAAGUAUAAGCACUUGUACUGUGAAACUGCGAAUGGCUCAUUAAAUCAGUUAUCGUUUAUUUGAUUGUACUUUACUACAUGGAUACCUGUGGUAAUUCUAGAGCUAAUACAUGCGAAAAAUCCCGACUCCUGGAAGGGAUGUAUUUAUUAGAUUAAAAACCAAUGCGGAUCUUCGGAUUCGUUUUCUUGGUGAUUCAUGAUAACUUUUCGAAUCGCAUGGCCUAGAGCCGGCGAUAUUUCAUUCAAAUUUCUGCCCUAUCAACUGUCGAUGGUAAGGUAGUGGCUUACCAUGGUUAUAACGGGUGACGGAGAAUUAGGGUUCGAUUCCGGAGAGGGAGCCUGAGAAACGGCUACCACAUCUAAGGAAGGCAGCAGGCUCGAAAAUUACCCAAUCCCGACUCGGGGAGGUAGUGACAAGAAAUAACAAUACGGGGUCUUAAUAGGUCUCGCAAUUGGAAUGAGUACAAUUUAAAUCCUUUAACGAGGAUCAAUUGGAGGGCAAGUCUGGUGCCAGCAGCCGCGGUAAUUCCAGCUCCAAUAGC
RNAcentral lists this ribosomal RNA (601 nucleotides) under uncultured marine eukaryote. RNAcentral describes it as "SSU rRNA". It matches the Rfam family "Eukaryotic small subunit ribosomal RNA", at positions 1 to 598 of the family's 1831-position model. The record is from RNAcentral.